AUUUGAAAGACAGUGGCGAACGGGUGCGUAACACGUGAACAAUCUACCUUCAAAUGGGGAAUAGCUCGCCGAAAGGCGGAUUAAUACCGCAUAUGGUUAUUUUUCGCAUGAAAAAUAUACCAAAGUCAGGGACCGCAAGGCCUGACGUUAGAAGAGGAGUUCGCGGCCUAUCAGCUAGUUGGCGAGGUAACGGCUCACCAAGGCUAAGACGGGUAGCU
This 218-nucleotide ribosomal RNA is filed under the name uncultured bacterium. RNAcentral's name for it is "partial 16S ribosomal RNA". It matches the Rfam family "Bacterial small subunit ribosomal RNA", at positions 83 to 288 of the family's 1533-position model. The record is from RNAcentral.